This 254-nucleotide ribosomal RNA is filed under the name uncultured bacterium. RNAcentral's name for it is "partial 16S ribosomal RNA". It matches the Rfam family "Bacterial small subunit ribosomal RNA", at positions 524 to 776 of the family's 1533-position model. The record is from RNAcentral.
UACGUAGGCAGCAAGCGUUGUUCGGAAUUACUGGGCGUAAAGAGUGUGUAGGCGGUGCUGCAAGUCUGGUGUGAAAUCUCCCGGCUCAACUGGGAGGGUGCGCCGGAAACUGCAGUGCUAGAGGGUGGGAGAGGUAAGCGGAAUUCCUGGUGUAGCGGUGAAAUGCGUAGAUAUCAGGAGGAACACCUGAGGUGAAGACGGGUUGCUGGGCCGACACUGACGCUGAUAGCGCGAAAGCCAGGGGAGCAAACGGG